Molecule: ribosomal RNA, 439 nt
Filed under: uncultured bacterium
Lineage: Bacteria
Description: partial 16S ribosomal RNA
Rfam family: Bacterial small subunit ribosomal RNA
Source: RNAcentral
CUACGGGUCGCAGCAGUGAGGAAUAUUGCACAAUGGGGGGAACCCUGAUGCAGCAACGCCGCGUGGAGGAUGACGCAUUUCGGUGUGUAAACUCCUUUUAUAUGUCAAGAAAAUGACGGUAGCAUAUGAAUAAGCACCGGCUAACUCCGUGCCAGCAGCCGCGGUAAUACGGAGGGUGCAAGCGUUACUCGGAAUCACUGGGCGUAAAGUAAGCGUAGGCGGGUUGGAAAGUCAGGUGUGAAAUCCUACAGCUUAACUGUAGAACUGCACUUGAAACUUCUAAUCUAGAGUAUGGGAGGGGGAGAUGGAAUUAGUGGUGUAGGGGUAAAAUCCGUAGAUAUCACUAGGAAUACCUAAAGCGAAGGCGAUCUCCUGGAACAUUACUGACGCUAAGGCGUGAAAGCGUGGGGAGCAAACAGGAUUAGAUACCCCUGUAGUC